Molecule: ribosomal RNA, 253 nt
Filed under: uncultured bacterium
Lineage: Bacteria
Description: partial 16S ribosomal RNA
Rfam family: Bacterial small subunit ribosomal RNA
Source: RNAcentral
UACGUAGGGCGCAAGCGUUGUCCGGAAUUAUUGGGCGUAAAGAGCUCGUAGGCGGUUUGUCGCGUCUGCUGUGAAAACCUAAGGCUCAACCUUGGGCUUGCAGUGGGUACGGGCAGACUAGAGUGCGGUAGGGGUGACUGGAAUUCCCGGUGUAGCGGUGAAAUGCGCAGAUAUCAGGAGGAACACCGAUGGCGAAGGCAGAUCUCUGGGCCGUAACUGACGCUGAGGAGCGAAAGCAUGGGGAGCGAACAGG